RNAcentral lists this long non-coding RNA (4293 nucleotides) under Selaginella moellendorffii. RNAcentral's name for it is "long non-coding RNA (SMOE_LNC000651)". The record is from RNAcentral. Lineage: Eukaryota; Viridiplantae; Streptophyta; Lycopodiopsida; Selaginellales; Selaginellaceae.
AUUGGUUGAACGGUGACGAUUGUUUCAAAAGACCUAAUGUAAGGGUUUUCACAGAGGGUUAAAUUCAAGCUAUGGAUGCCUCUUCAUCUAGAAAGCGUGGGCAAGAGCCAGAUGAAGAGGGAGAGCAGGAGGAGAAAAAGUGACUUAAAAGAGGUGAGCUUGCUCGUGUGAAAUGUUGUCUGGGGGCGGCAGUUGGGGAAAUUGCAGAACUUGAAUACCAAUUGUGGGAAGCCGAGGAGGAUGCUGAACUAAAGGAGCAGCUAGCCUCAGAGAAAGUGCGGGUGAGGGGACUCGAGGUGGAUAAGUUGAAACUGGAACGCGAGCUCUCUGAAAUCCUCCAGCUGCCACCUGAAUCCUUGAAAAGAGUGGAGGGUCAACAUGUCUCUGGAUUCUACUGCAGACAUGAGGAAACUAGAAGAGGAUCAAAAGACAUAUGCACGUAGAAUGUUUGGAUGGGUUAAGAACACGGCAAUGUGCAAGUGUUUGGAGCCAAAGCUCAGUGUGAAAAAGAGUAAGUAAAACUUCAUAGUUUGUUCUGUCCACAAUCAAUCUGAGAAUUUUUCUGAGGCAAAGCAAUGACUGCACCAUCUCAAUUCUUUGCCUACAUUGCAGCUUUUGGUCACUUUGCACUUUUGACUGUUCUAGAACGUCCUUAUGUGUGUGGCCAGAAGAGAGUGUAAGCGACUAAUUUUUUCAUUUCACUUUAGUCACUUAACCGCACCUCCGACCACUUGGAGGAGUCUCAUUCACAACCUCCAUAAGUCCCAGUUAGGACUUGGGGCUUGCUAGCCCCGAGAAUGGCAUCCAUGCCACUCCACCUUUGCACUUGGUCUAAGUGCUCCACGUGUCCGAUCCCAUGACCGGCACUCCAAGGUACCACCAACAUACUAGCCCGUUACGCUAGGCCAUGCCCAUUCGCCUUGGUCACACCGGUGGUCUAAUGCCACCUGCAUCAUAAUCCUGUCUCUCAAAGACUGGGCCAUCUGUCCAUGAGCGAUCAUCCUAGAUCUACUCCUUAGCAUCCAUAGGAUGCCCACAGACAUGGGGAAUAGUCUUCCCCGACAACUCUUUUCCAGUCCCCACCAAGUCCCUUUUAGUCUAUGGCCGUGUUCGCCAACACUGCCACUGGAUCAAGGCCCGUAGGCCUGACCACUAAGUCCCACUAUCCUUUGGGACUUCCUCACCAUGUGACCAUAUCCUUGGUCACUGCAUUAGAGGCCUACUCCUCUUCCCUUUCACCGUUUGGGACUUUGGGACAACAUUUCGGAACACCGUGGCCUUACGCAAGCCUCAUGGGUACUCUCCCCGCCUUUCGUCUUUAGGUGCUCUAGCCAUGGGCUUAGAGCGAGGUUCCGUUGAGCCACGACAGGUAUCCAAGUAGGUAGUGCCACCCACACUCGGACUGGGAGCAUCGGCCAAUCGAUCUCCCGGGGGAACUAGAGUUGGCUCUUGAACACUUUACCAAGUUACCCCGCUUGUCGGUCUGUGUUCACUCUAGUCUUGGACUUCCCAGUGGGCAGCUCAUCACCCAACACUGGGUCCGGCCUUCCUAGGCCAAACUAGCCUUUCCUGGCCAAACUAGCUCUAUUGCAGUCCUCCCCCUUACUAUACUUUUGGAGCUCACCUAACCCCCCAGGGUCUAGGAGACGAAUGCUUUGGGCUUUCACCCUCUCAGACUUGAACUCGGACUCGAACUCGGACUCGAACUCAGACUCGGGCUCGGGCUUGGUCUCGGCCUCGGCCUCAGUCUCGGUCUCGGUCUCGGUCUCGGUCCCGGUCUCGGUCUCGACUUCGGACUCCAUCUCGGGUCCAUCUCGAACUCCAUCUCGGACUCCAUCUCGGGUCCAUCUCGGACUCCAUCUCGUGUCCAUCUCGGGUCCAUCUCGGACUCCAUCUCAGGUCCAUCUCGGACUCCAUCUCGGACUCCAUAUCGGACUCCAUCUCGGGUCCAUCUCGGACUCCAUCUCGGAUCCAUCUCGGACUCCAUCUCGGGUCCAUCUCGGACUCCAUCUCGGACUCCAUUUCGGGUCCAUCUCGGGUCCACCUUGGACUCCACCUUAGACUCCAUCUCGGACUCCAUCUCGGGUCCAUCUCGGACUCCAUCUCGGGUCCGUCUUGGACUCAAUCUCGGAUCCAUCUCGGACUCCAUCUCGGGUUCAUCUCGGACUCCACCUCGGACUCCAUCUCGGGGUCCUUCUUGGACUCCACUUCGGACUCCAACUCGAGUCCAUCUCGGACACUUCCACGUGUCAUGUGUUGGUCCUUUUGGGUCCCUUUUUUGGAGCCUCGCUUAUUACUCGCUUCGUGCUCGUUCCUCGAGCCCUUUGUUGGGAGUUCCACUCCCGCUCUCGACCUUUCAAGUCGGGGCUUUUUAAUCCAAAUGUGUUACGCUCGUUUGAUUUUCGCUUUGGCCACCACCACAUGGCACCCUUCCAGCUCCACUUUGGGGCCUAGGGAUUUUGUGUCUCACAGAGAGAUGCUACAGUUUGAGAAAGCUGGUUCUUAUGUACAGUUUGAAAAUCGGUCAGUUUCGACAUCAGAUGUAGGAGAUAUUGCAUUGCCUAUGCGGAUCUGCACGGGGCUCAAGGGAGCAUCUGCAUCUGAGCCUUUUAUGGUUUAUGUGCUUUUUGUGACCUUAUUCGUGAGGAUAUGCUGCUGUGAGGUCUCUAGGUUUCAUGUGUAUACUCUGCUCACUCACACCAAUGGCUUUCGGGAGGUUCUUCAUACUUUUGCUUCACCACAUGUUGUGAGUGGCCGGAUUUUCUUUGCGCGUGUGCAUCGACGUGAUUCUUCUAAAGAUAUAUUAACUUAAUAAAAAAUAAAACUGAGUUUUUUUAGAUAUAUUAAUGUAUCGAAAUAAAUUAGCUUCUAUGAUACUUUGGAUUUCCACAAUGAUAAUAAUAAGCAAAUUUCAUUCUAUCUAUAUAGCCACAACAUUUAUGUAAUUUUUAUUUAAAAUAUUUUUUUCAUUCAUUAAUAAGUUUCUAUACAUAUUUUAUAUACAUAUUUAUAUAGAAAUUUAACUCCAUAAUCUUUAUAAGUUCUAUUAUUUUAUUAGCAUAAUUUAUUGAUCCGACGGCUGUCGUUGGUUGAACGGUGACGAUUGUUUCAAAAGACCUAAUGUUAGGGUUUUCUACGGCGGCGAGAGGUCUUUGUAGGGUUAAGUUCAAGCUAUGGACGCCUCUUCAGCUAGAAAGCGUGGGCGAGAGCCGAAUGAAGAGGAAGAGCAGGAGGAGAAAAAGCGACUUAAAGUAGGUGAGAUUGCUCGUGUGCAAUUUCGUCUGCAGGAGGCACUUAUGGAAAUUGCACGCCUUAACUUGAAAUCGUGGGAAGCCGGGGAGGAUGCCGAACUAAAGGAGCAGAUAGCCUCAGAGAGAGUGCGGGCGAGUCAACUCCAGGAGGAUGAGUGGAGACUGGAACGCGAGCUCUCUGAAAUCCUCCAGCCACCACCUGAAUACUUGAAAAGAGUGGAGGGUAUUGCCGAAUCAGCAUUUGCGCAGGAGUACCAAAGAGUUGGGGGAUUAGACAACGUGGAGUUGUUGCGUGAGAAGCUGGAAGAAACAGGAGACAUGUGGAAGGCGGAGAAACUCAUGAUAGCACCUGUUGUCACGUUAGUUCAGUCGAGUGGCUGGGGAAAGUCGAGGACUACCUGCGAGCUUGCGAAUUUAGGUGUGUUCGUCAUCUACUGCUCAUUCGCUUCAUCUGGCACCGCGUACCCUCCAAGGUCUGCCUUUGCGGACUUCUUCUACACAAACGCCGUCAAAUUGCUCAGCUCGGGUCCUACGCUUUUGUCGCAGAGCAGGUUCAUGCUCUUCUGCAUUGACUACUUUGUGUCAUGCAUCGAGGCUCUUCUGCAGCUGACUUCCGGGGAGGACCCCAUGGAUGCCAAAAAGUUCUUGAACGAUCUCAUGGUUGGGGAGAACUUUUGGGGACUGGUACAGGCGAAGAUGGAGAUAGGAAACGAAGCCCGGGGGGAGUUUGCUAAGCGCCUUGACGUCGACCUGAAAAAGGGGCCUGGCGAGAACACCAAUAUCUGGGGCAUCUGGGAAAGUAAGGUGUUUAAGAAGUACAACACGCUUGAAGGUCUACUGUCGAAUGUUCCAGCUCCUGCCAAAGGAAAACUGAAGGUCCUGUUUGCCAUGGAUGAAGCCCGAUGGUUUACUUCGCAUGAUGAUCCGAGAACUGUUGCUGCAUUUGUUCCUGCAAGGAGGGCUUCCAGGGUGUUGCCUGAAAAUGGGAGUGUGUCGGUGAUGUUCACCGACACAAACGGGAGGCUAAACACUUUUGCGCCGC